This 520-nucleotide ribosomal RNA is filed under the name uncultured bacterium. RNAcentral describes it as "bacterial SSU rRNA". It matches the Rfam family "Bacterial small subunit ribosomal RNA", at positions 120 to 674 of the family's 1533-position model. The record is from RNAcentral.
GGGAACGUACCCUUUACUACGGAACAACUCCGGGAAACUGGAGCUAAUACCGUAUGUGCCCUUCGGGGGAAAGAUUUAUCGGUAAAGGAUCGGCCCGCGUUGGAUUAGCUAGUUGGUGGGGUAAAGGCCUACCAAGGCGACGAUCCAUAGCUGGUCUGAGAGGAUGAUCAGCCACAUUGGGACUGAGACACGGCCCAAACUCCUACGGGAGGCAGCAGUGGGGAAUAUUGGACAAUGGGCGCAAGCCUGAUCCAGCCAUGCCGCGUGUGUGAUGAAGGCCUUAGGGUUGUAAAGCACUUUCACCGGAGAAGAUAAUGACGGUAUCCGGAGAAGAAGCCCCGGCUAACUUCGUGCCAGCAGCCGCGGUAAUACGAAGGGGGCUAGCGUUGUUCGGAAUUACUGGGCGUAAAGCGCACGUAGGCGGAUAUUUAAGUCAGGGGUGAAAUCCCAGAGCUCAACUCUGGAACUGCCUUUGAUACUGGGUAUCUUGAGUAUGGACGAGGUAAGUGGAAUUGCGAGU